This is a long non-coding RNA of Phyllopteryx taeniolatus (common seadragon), 3713 nucleotides long. RefSeq lists it as uncharacterized. The transcript is spliced from 4 exons. The record is from RefSeq and is a predicted model, not a curated record. NCBI's taxonomy places the organism in Eukaryota, Metazoa, Chordata, Actinopteri, Syngnathiformes, Syngnathidae.
CUCAAAGUCAAACGUUUCUUGGUUCAAAUCUCAGCUUCAGCAGGGUUUGCAUGUUCUCCCUGUGCUUGAAUAGGGUUUCUCAGGAUAGUCCAGCGUUCUCCCAUACUUCAACAAUAUGCAUGAAGGGUAAAUUAAACACUCGAAAUUGUUAAUUGGUGUGACUGUCAGUGUGAAUGCUUGUUUGUCUACAUGUGCCCUGCAAUUGUCUAGCGACCUGCCCAGAGUGUACUUUGCAUCUCGCACAAAGUCAACUGGCACAAGCUCCAGCUCACCUGUAACCGUUUGAGGACAAGUGGCAAAGAAAAUGGAUGAAUGGCACUGUAAUUUAAUUAGCUAAAAUCAAGUUCACGUCUUGAAAAGAGUUGCUGAUGUUUUGGGUGCAGACAAGCUAUGUUGCUACCAGGCUUAAAAAGAACAUUUGAAGUUUAAAACUCCUUCCUAUGAUCAUGAAAAAUGUUCAUGACUGAAAAUGAAAGCUGUCCUCCCUAUAGUGUGCAUGUACAACUUUUCAAGCGCUGAUAUUGAUACUUCCAUUGGAAACUGUUGACAGACGGAAAGUGUGAGGGACUGAAUAGGAACAGACUAAAGGCCACUUGGCAAGACACUGACGGACUCGACUUUCCCAUUCAUUGUGUGUGUGCUGAGAGGGCGUCAGAGCGUUUUGACGUUUUGGCCUCUAACGCUCAGCGUUGCCUCUUCGGAUGGAAAAAUGUUCUAUUCUGGACCGUUGAGGCCGUUACAUCAACAAGCUCCUCCAAUGGGAGAGAGGCUGCCGCAGUGAUUUCUGAGUGCUAUUUGGGCGGACUUGUACCAUAAAUGGCAAGGGGGAAAUGGAGGACGCUCUAAUGCAAGCGGUUUCUCUUUGUCCCCAAAUCUCUGCUGAGCCUGAAAUAUAUCUCCAAGCGGUCUUGGUAAUAUUGUAGCUCACAAACAAGCCUAAAAAAGACAGCGACAUUUUCCCGAGGUGCACUCUAGUUCUUCAGUGGGAAAAACCUUUCUGUUUACUUCCUGAUUGGUCGCUAGGUCAGCAGUUUCAAAUAUGGGAUGGCCGUUGCCGUCGACAUUGCGCUUUGACGCCGGGGUCUUUCACACUGAGCAAGUGCAGUGUGAAAAGGCCUUAAUGUAGCAGGAUGUCAUAUAAAUGAUCAGUUGUAACAUUACAGUGUUCCAUUAGAGGUAUACCUAUUGAGGUACACUAUUAUUUUUGUCCCCUAAAAUCUUAAUAGAGCUGCAGUUUACUGUAGAUGGCUGAUGUAUAUAUACAGUAUGUAUGCAUGUAGGAGUAUGACACGUAUGACAUCUAUCCAUUAUUCCACAUUAAAAGUGAAGUAAGCAAUUAGGUAAAAAACACUUUUUAUCAUAUACUGUAUAUUAUAAGGCGGCACGGUGGACGACUGGUUAGAGCAUCAGCCUCACAGUUCUGAGGACCAGGGUUCAAUCCCCGGUACCGCCUGUGUGGAGUUUGCAUGUUCUCCCCGUGCCUGCGUGGGUUUUCUCCGGGCACUCCGGUUUCGUCCCACAUCCCAAAAACAUUGGAGACUCUAAAUUGCCCGUAGGUGUAAAUGUGAGUGCGAAUGGUUGUUUGUUUGUAUGUGCCCUGGGAUUGGCUGGCGACCAGUUCAGGGUGUACCCCGCCUCCUGCCCGAUGAUAGCUGGGAUAGGCUCCAGCACGCCCGCGACCCUAGUGAGGAGAAGUGGCCUGUAAUUUAACUUUCAUUAUUAAUUUAGAAAGUCUCUGUGACGGAGAGAAUUGUCCAAUUUGACACUGUAUAGACUGGAGGCGUGGGCUGGGAGUGUGUCAAUCAUUUUCUCAUGUACGCGCAUUUAUACCAGAAGGAAGCUGUGGGAACAAUGGAUACAACUCAAGGAUAAAACAUGAAACAACUUCCAUGACGAACUGAAUAUUAUUCCAUUGACAAUGUCUGUAUGUAUCUGUAGUUUCAUUGUGAGACAAUUUUGGGCUCAUUCUCAAGUAUUUUUUCCGGAUGCAUAUUCAUUUAUAUUACCGUGUUUUCAUGACCAUAAGGCGCACUUAAAAGUCUUAAAUUUUCACCAAAAUGGACGGGGCGCCUUAUAAUGCGGCGCGCCCUAUGUGUGCACCGAGUUCCAAAAUAUGUAAAUGUUGUUGUGUGACUUUAAUGAGCGCUCCGCUUCACUGACUGGGAGCAUUUCCUGCCAACACGCUGUUUAUAUCGAGGAAGGUGGACGUGACUGAGGACAGCAUGCGGACGUAAAGUGGGAAGGGUGCGCGUGACAGAGGACGCUAAAGACAUAGGUAUAUAAUUAUGGUAUGUGCAUCGGUUUGACUAAGGACCCCCGAAAAUGGCACCUACGAAGAGAUACGCUUACGAAGCACAGUUUAAACUGCAAGCUAUGAGUUACGCAGAGGAGCAGCCGCAGCAGUGAGAGAAUUCAAAAUCAUCAAAUCCAUGGUUUGCAAGUGGAGGAAGCAGGAAAACGAGUAAUGCCAAGUCAAGAAGAGGAAGCUGAGUUUCCGCGGAAAAAGAAGAAAAACAAAACGCGGAAACAAGGCGAGGUGGCCCGAGUUGGAAGACCAACUCGAGCAAUGGAUUAAUGAGCAAAGAACAGCCGGGAGAAGCGUCUCUACAGUCACCAUUCGACCGAGUGCAAUAACUCGGAGCUUUCCAUCAUUCCAGGCGGCUUGACGAAGGAACUCCAACCGCUGGACAUCCGUGUAAACAGGGUGUUCAAAGUGAAGUUGCGAGCGGUGUGGGAGCCAUGGAUGACAGCUGGCGAACACAGUUUAAGUAAGACUAGGAGGCAGCGCCGGGCGAGUCACAAUUUGUGAACGGAUUAUGGAUGCUUGGGCUAACGUGUCUGCUUGCACUGUUUUUCGAGCUUUCGUAAAAGCCGGCAUCAUUUGUGAGGAGCCGCACGGCAACAAGACUGACUCCGACAAUGAUGAGAGGGAACCUGCCGUGUUUGAUGGAGAACUUGCCCAGCUUUUCAUUUCGGAUACAGAUGAGGACUUUGAUGGAUUUGUGGAUUAGAUACAGAUGAGGAUUGAUAAAAAAAUAAUUUAUACAAGGGUCCAUCAAGGUCACUGCCCAUGAAAAAAACCUGAGACCUCCACCUCCUGCUGUUUCAACAAUUGUUACAGGAGAGAGUCUCUCUGACUGGUCAAUGGGUUUCUGUCACCAGGGGCCUGUUGCAGCUUACAACAGCAAAGGCCUGAUGAUCUACUCAAGUGUUGCAAACUCAACUCAGCAGAGGCCAAGGACACUACCCGAUCAAGAUUGGAGUGACACGAGCCAGUCCUGGAAUACUGGGCAAACCUCUUAGAAUGAUGUAAUGGAACCAUGCAUACAGUAUAUCUUGUGAAUAAAAUGUUUUUAAAUACUUUUGAUUCGUGUUAUAUUUGUUGUUUUAAAUAUACAAUCCAUAAACAAGCGUUGUAUAGGGCACUGAUGUUUAUGAACUGGAAGGCGAUAUGAAAUGUAACUGAUUUCUGAGUGGAAAUUGUGGAGAAGGAAGCAUUCAUUUUCAGUUUUUUAAUUCAUAACAAUUGAACAAUUUCAAAAAGGUAGAGAUAAAUGUGCAAACAUUCCUGGAAGUAAAUUUAAAAAAUAAACUGUAAAUGACAAAUAUUUAAAAAGUAAUUCAGCAUGCACAUUUCUACUGGAGCAAUGCUUCGAAAAUAUUACAUUUUGUUGUCGCUUUGUGUGAAUCCUAUAUAAUGUCCUUGGGGAUUG